AGUGAACGCUGGCGGUAGGCCUAACACAUGCAAGUCGAACGGCAGCACAGUAAGAGCUUGCUCUUACGGGUGGCGAGUGGCGGACGGGUGAGGAAUACAUCGGAAUCUACUUUUUCGUGGGGGAUAACGUAGGGAAACUUACGCUAAUACCGCAUACGACCUACGGGUGAAAGCAGGGGAUCUUCGGACCUUGCGCGAUUGAAUGAGCCGAUGUCGGAUUAGCUAGUUGGCGGGGUAAAGGCCCACCAAGGCGACGAUCCGUAGCUGGUCUGAGAGGAUGUUCAGCCACACUGGAACUGAGACACGGUCCAGACUCCUACGGGAGGCAGCAGUGGGGAAUAUUGGACAAUGGGCGCAAGCCUGAUCCAGCCAUACCGCGUGGGUGAAGAAGGCCUUCGGGUUGUAAAGCCCUUUUGUUGGGAAAGAAAAGCAGCAGGUUAAUACCCCGCUGUUCUGACGGUACCCAAAGAAUAAGCACCAGCUAACUUCGUG
This 492-nucleotide ribosomal RNA is filed under the name uncultured bacterium. RNAcentral describes it as "partial 16S ribosomal RNA". It matches the Rfam family "Bacterial small subunit ribosomal RNA", at positions 29 to 507 of the family's 1533-position model. The record is from RNAcentral.